UUAGUUCGUGGAGUGAUCUGUCUGCUUAAUUGCGUUUCAAAUUUUUAACCGAGGACCGGGUUUUGGUUUGGCUAGUGGUCCUACGAUGACUGUGAACUGUCAUGUCUUCGGAUGUACGACUAUCGGUCUAGGAUCACAUGACUUGCCCCUGGGACUCUUUUGAACGCAACGGACGUGAUUGCAACCCCUUGUUGAGAUUAGAGAUAGUCUCGAUAUUCACUGGCCAAACUGGCUGCUUUAUGCAGUCUUGUUGAAUGGUGGAUAAACUCGGGGGACUGCUGACUAUAACCAUUUCUCAAAACAGAGGAAGGUUGCGGCAAUAACAGGUCUGUGAUGCCCUCAGAUGUCCCGGGCUGCACACGUGCUACAAUGAGUGGCGCAAUGUGCUAAUGUUUUAAGGGAUAAGCGUGCGGCCAGUAGAACGUCGGCAAUUGCCCUGGCGUCUUCUACCGCACGAUUAUCAGCCUUCCCUUAACAGGGCGGGCAACCUUUUCAAAAUACCGGUUUGAUGUUAAAGUAUAGAGUCGUUUUUUUUGGAUGGUGGUUUACGAACCAAUACCAUCCGCAACUGCUCGCGAGUUUGUGGUUCUGGUGACUC
This 598-nucleotide ribosomal RNA is filed under the name Globigerinoides ruber albus. RNAcentral describes it as "partial small subunit ribosomal RNA". It matches the Rfam family "Eukaryotic small subunit ribosomal RNA", at positions 1294 to 1605 of the family's 1831-position model. The record is from RNAcentral. Lineage: Eukaryota; Foraminifera; Rotaliida; Globigerinidae.